RNAcentral lists this ribosomal RNA (298 nucleotides) under uncultured microorganism. RNAcentral describes it as "partial 16S ribosomal RNA". It matches the Rfam family "Archaeal small subunit ribosomal RNA", at positions 330 to 634 of the family's 1478-position model. The record is from RNAcentral.
GCGCAGCAGUCGAGAAUCCUUACAAUGUCUUCACGGACGAUAGGGGAAUCCUGAGUGCUCUAGCAUUGCUAGAGCUUUGCUUACUGAAAAGGUAGGCGAAUAAGUGGUGGGUAAGACGGGUGCCAGCCGCCGCGGUAAUACCCGCGCCACAAGUGGUGACCACGUUUAUUGGGUCUAAAGCGUUCGUAGCCGGCCUGAUAAAUUCUCGGUGAAAUCCUGUGUAAAUCAUAGGGCGUGCCGGGGAAGACUGUCAAGCUAGGAACCGGGAGAGGCUGAGGGUACUCCAGGAGUAGGGGUU